CCUACGGGAGGCAGCAGUCGAGAAUCAUUCACAAUGGGGGAAACCCUGAUGGUGCGACGCCGCGUGGGGGAAUGAAGGCCUUCGGAUUGUAAACCCCUGUCAUGUGGGAGCAAAUUAAAAAGAUAGUACCACAAGAGGAAGAGACGGCUAACUCUGUGCCAGCAGCCGCGGUAAUACAGAGGUCUCAAGCGUUGUUCGGAACCACUGGGCGUAAAGCGUGCGUAGGCUGUUGCGUAAGUCGUGUGUGAAAGGCGCGGGCUCAACCCGCGGACGGCACAUGAUACUGCGAGACGAGAGGAAUGGAGGGGGAACCGGAAUUCUCGGUGUAGCAGUGAAAUGCGUAGAUAUCGAGAGGAACACUCGUGGCGAAGGCGGGUUCCUGGACAUUAACUGACGCUGAGGCACGAAGGCCAGGGGAGCGAAAGGGAUUAGAUACCCGUGUAGUC
RNAcentral lists this ribosomal RNA (446 nucleotides) under uncultured bacterium. RNAcentral's name for it is "partial 16S ribosomal RNA". It matches the Rfam family "Bacterial small subunit ribosomal RNA", at positions 338 to 795 of the family's 1533-position model. The record is from RNAcentral.